CGCGGCCUAUCAGCUUGUUGGUGGGGUAACGGCCUACCAAGGCGACGACGGGUAGCCGGCCUGAGAGGGCGACCGGCCACACUGGGACUGAGACACGGCCCAGACUCCUACGGGAGGCAGCAGUGGGGAAUAUUGCGCAAUGGGCGGAAGCCUGACGCAGCGACGCCGCGUGGGGGAUGAAGGCCUUCGGGUUGUAAACCCCUUUCAGCAGGGACGAAGCGAAAGUGACGGUACCUGCAGAAGAAGCGCCGGCUAACUACGUGCCAGCAGCCGCGGUAACACGUAGGGCGCAAGCGUUGUCCGGAAUUAUUGGGCGUAAAGAGCUCGUAGGCGGUCUGUUGCGUCCGCUGUGAAAACUCGGGGCUUAACCCCGAGCCUGCAGUGGAUACGGGCAGACUAGAGGUAGGUAGGGGAGAAUGGAAUUCCCGGUGUAGCGGUGAAAUGCGCAGAUAUCGGGAGGAACACCGGUGGCGAAGGCGGUUCUCUGGGCCUUACCUGACGCUGAGGAGCGAAAGCGUGGGGAGCGAACAGGAUUAGGUACCCUGGUAGUCCACGCCGUAAACGUUGGGCGCUAGGUGUGGGAUCCUUCCACGGAUUCCGUGCCGCAGCUAACGCAUUAAGCGCCCCGCCUGGGGAG
Molecule: ribosomal RNA, 637 nt
Filed under: uncultured bacterium
Lineage: Bacteria
Description: bacterial SSU rRNA
Rfam family: Bacterial small subunit ribosomal RNA
Source: RNAcentral